RNAcentral lists this long non-coding RNA (2291 nucleotides) under Mytilus galloprovincialis (Mediterranean mussel). The record is from RNAcentral. Lineage: Eukaryota; Metazoa; Mollusca; Bivalvia; Mytilida; Mytilidae.
GUAUUUUUCAUUCUGAGGAAAAAGUUCUCACAGGUUUCAUUUUUGCAUGUCCUUCACCAUUUUAUUAUGCCAUUGUUAAUUUGGAUUGGUUUAAAGUUUGCGGCCGGUAUGUAUCAUUAUCCAAAUACUUCAGGAACUUAACUGCUGCAAUAUACUCUGUACACUAAUUUGAAAAUUAAAUCAUACAGACUCAAACAGUUGUUUGAGAGAGAAGAUUGUAACCAACUUCAAUAAACUUAAUUAACGUUGGUGCUAUGUGUCAAACAUUUUAUAUCAUUAGGUAUGAUUUUCACUUCCUUUCGUCAAUUUUAAAUAUAGUAAACGAUUAAUUUAUUCAUAUUUUCAGUCUUAUAUUGAUAUACGACAUUACGAAACCCAUUCAUGUAUUUGAAGCGGAUCUCUAUUUAAAACAACCUAUGAUUUACAGCAGUUCCGAGGGUACCAUGUUUUUUAUUUGAUUCUUUAUUUUAUUCGGGAGGCGGUUACACACACACACACACACACACACACACACACACACACACCUUAUUAUAACAACUAUGGUAUACAAUCGUUGACUAUACCUAACCUUUUAUUAUUAUACAAUGAUCGAACAGCAACAAGAAACGGGGUUGGUUAUCGCUAAAAUACAACUAAGGCUCUGAAUAAAGUAGUUGUUUCCACCAUAUAUUAUAACAAAUAGUUCUGGAUUAAGAAGCAUGUGCAUCUCAUUAGUUCUAUUUUUGCAAUUAUUUUGUAUAAUAAAUACCGGUAUGCUGGUUCACAAAUGCUGCAUGUAACAUUAAAGUUUUUUUAAAUCUCCGAACAUGUACAGGAUAUUUUUAAUUAUUUUGCAGGUGGCAUGACAAUAUUUUUUCCUACUAUCAACUCACUUGUUCAUUUUUUUAUGUAUGCAUAUUAUGGUCUUUCCGCCAUGGGACCAAAAUAUCAAAAGUACUUAUGGUGGAAAAAGUACAUGACAAAAUUUCAAAUUGUAAGUUUAGUUAUACAGAAACAAGAUAUAUGUUAUUAUCAAAGUAGUUAAAUGUAAAUUUUGGUGGUUUGUAUUUCGUCUGAUAUAUGGUUUUAGGGUUUUACCUUUAAAAUGAUCCAACCAAAGAAUGAUUAUUCUUCUGUCAGUAUCAAUUUUCAAUUAUCAUGAAACACGUUAAGAUGGAAACUUCAUUAACAAUAACACUUUCAACGUCGUGAACUUUUUAAAAUUGAAUCAGGUAUAUUUCUUUUGUUGCUAGAUUUUUGGAUGAACACUUUCUUUUAAUUGUUACUAUCAUACUGAUCGAUAUAAUACUAAAAAGUGUAAACGCUAUGGUGUAAUUCAACCAAAUGUGAACGUGUGACUGUACAAGCCAAUAAUUUUGGUGGUUCUAAACGAUUGGUUAUUUGGGGAAUGGUUGUUUCAGAAGGACGAACAAGGUCUUGAUGAUUAUAAAAAAAAUUAGAAAAAAGACACUAGAACAAAUUAUCCUUGUUUAGUUAAUUAACAACUUUUCUAAACAAUUUAGAGCUUGACAUAAUGUACAUACGUCUGUUGUAGAAGUCUUUGUUUUUCGACUAUUUUUGUCGGUGUACAACUGUCUUAUCGAGGUAUAUUUACAAUCGUCUUUUUAUUAAUAUAAAAACGAAAAAUAACCCAAGUCAUAAACAAACAAAAUAUUUAAAUAUUUUUUUUAGGUUUCUAGAAUGAAAUUAAACAAAACAGUGACAAUAUUUUUGCUGUUGUGAAUCGGUACGUUUACAUUCAUAUUAAAAUUUUGCGGCUCUAUAAAGUAUACUCGUAAUAUGUAUGUAUAUUUGUUUUUUAGAUCCAGUUUGUACUAAUUUUACUACAUAGUUCGCAGUUACUGUUUAUCGACUGUGGGUUUCCACGUCCCAUGGCAUGGAUCUUUGUGAUAGGAUCUGUAACAUUUAUCUUGUUGUUUUCUAAUUUCUACAUUCAAGCCUAUCUGAAAAAUACAAAUAAAAAACAACUUGACAACCGUGCAUCAAACGGACACGUGAAAGAGGAAUAAGAAUCUUCUGUUUCAUUUAGAAUUCUGGUAUUGACCACUAAUGGCAUCUGUAUUAAAGAUACAAGAGAUAUUUCCUAUUUUCUUUAUCUCGUAUUAAAUUGUCUUAGACAAUAUUUUAGAGUUGUUUCUUUAUUGAAAGUAAUCUGUUCAUGCAUCUUUACAUGCAUCUUUACAUGCAUCUAAGCAAUUAAUCAGUAGUAUGUUAAAGGAGGAAGUAUUGCAUCCCUCCUGAUAAAUAAAUAAAUUCGAAAAAAAUCUUUGAUCAGUAAUUUAUUCAGAGCC